GUUGAACGCUGGCGGCAUGCCUUACACAUGCAAGUCGAACGGCAGCGGACCUUCGGGUGCCGGCGAGUGGCGAACGGGUGAGUAAUAUAUCGGAACGUACCUUUCAGUGGGGGAUAACGUAGCGAAAGUUACGCUAAUACCGCAUAUUCUGUGAGCAGGAAAACAGGGGAUCGCAAGACCUUGCGCUGAUUGAGCGGCCGAUAUCAGAUUAGCUAGUUGGUGAGGUAAAGGCUCACCAAGGCGACGAUCUGUAGCGGGUCUGAGAGGAUGAUCCGCCACACUGGAACUGAGACACGGUCCAGACUCCUACGGGAGGCAGCAGUGGGGAAUUUUGGACAAUGGGCGCAAGCCUGAUCCAGCCAUGCCGCGUGAGUGAAGAAGGCC
This 384-nucleotide ribosomal RNA is filed under the name uncultured bacterium. RNAcentral's name for it is "bacterial SSU rRNA". It matches the Rfam family "Bacterial small subunit ribosomal RNA", at positions 28 to 416 of the family's 1533-position model. The record is from RNAcentral.